RNAcentral lists this long non-coding RNA (476 nucleotides) under Equus asinus (donkey). RNAcentral describes it as "lncRNA (ENSEASG00005038404.1)". The record is from RNAcentral. Lineage: Eukaryota; Metazoa; Chordata; Mammalia; Perissodactyla; Equidae.
GCCCUGUCGGCACAGUGCUUGAUGGACACAGCAGGCAGUGGGUCUGCUCUCUCAGAGGGCGUAGCAGGAGGCAAGCCUAUUGUCUCGAGCUGGGUGGUCACAGUUGUCACAAAGUCAAGAAUCUGUGCAAGUCUCAGGCAAUUCUUCUGCUCCAUGUGCAUUAACUCAGCAGUGUUUAUCUGGUGGCGGGGCUGGUCCGGAGGGUCCAGAUAGCUUCCUGCUUCACACGUCUAGGGCCUUGUGGAGAUGACUGGAAGGCCGGGCUCAGCUGGAAUUACAGACCACGAGGAGGUGAAUCACCGGAAGAAAACUCCCGAUGUGCAAAUGCGUGCAGCGUGAAAGUCAGAGCAAGUACUGCAGAUAACAAGGUGCUUUGGAGCAUCAAAUGAAAGAGAGCUUGCAUCCGUCUGGGAGAGUCUGAAGGCCUUCAUCUGGACUUUAAAGGAUCACAUGGAUGAGCCCAAAGUGAGGGGAGA